Small nuclear RNA from Amblyraja radiata (thorny skate), 102 nucleotides. Lineage: Eukaryota; Metazoa; Chordata; Chondrichthyes; Rajiformes; Rajidae. The record is from RefSeq and is a predicted model, not a curated record.
GUGCACCAUAUCAGCAGCACAUAUAUAAAUAAGACACAGAGAAGAUUAGCAUAGUCCCUGCACAAGGGUGAUACGCAAAUUCAUAACGCAUUCCAUAUUUUU